This 492-nucleotide ribosomal RNA is filed under the name uncultured bacterium. RNAcentral's name for it is "partial 16S ribosomal RNA". It matches the Rfam family "Bacterial small subunit ribosomal RNA", at positions 29 to 507 of the family's 1533-position model. The record is from RNAcentral.
AGUGAACGCUGGCGGUAGGCCUAACACAUGCAAGUCGAACGGCAGCACAGUAAGAGCUUGCUCUUACGGGUGGCGAGUGGCGGACGGGUGAGGAAUACAUCGGAAUCUACUUUUUCGUGGGGGAUAACGUAGGGAAACUUACGCUAAUACCGCAUACGACCUACGAGUGAAAGCAGGGGAUCUUCGGACCUUGCGCGAUUGAAUGAGCCGAUGUCGGAUUAGCUAGUUGGCGGGGUAAAGGCCCACCAAGGCGACGAUCCGUAGCUGGUCUGAGAGGAUGAUCAGCCACACUGGAACUGAGACACGGUCCAGACUCCUACGGGAGGCAGCAGUGGGGAAUAUUGGACAAUGGGCGCAAGCCUGAUCCAGCCAUACCGCGUGGGUGAAGAAGGCCUUCGGGUUGUAAAGCCCUUUUGUUGGGAAAGAAAAGCAGCAGGUUAAUACCUCGCUGUUCUGACGGUACCCAAAGAAUAAGCACCGGCUAACUUCGUG